Molecule: long non-coding RNA, 6499 nt
Organism: Acinonyx jubatus (cheetah)
Lineage: Eukaryota; Metazoa; Chordata; Mammalia; Carnivora; Felidae
Exons: 5
Source: RefSeq, a predicted model, not a curated record
UUCCCCUGAAUUCCUCAUACCCACCUUUGUCAUACAUUCCCAGGACUUCAACCAUUAAGAGCUAUAUGCGGGGUGCCUGGGUGGCUCAGUCAGUUAAGCAUCUGAAUCUUGAUUUCAGCUCAAGUCAUGAUCUCACAGCUUGUGGGAUCUAGACCCACGUAAGGCUCUGCACUGUCAGCAUGGGAGGAUUCUCUCUCUCCCUCUCUUUUUUCCCCUCCCCACCCUCUCAAAAUACGUGAAAUAAACUUUAAAAAAAAAAGAACCAUAUGAAUCACUUUCCAUAGAUACCCUUAUUUACUUAAACAAUUUGAUUGAAAAACCAUUCUUGCUAAAUUUAGCUUGAAUCUGAAGUUUGAAAACAUAGUUUUAGAUGUUUAGGGUAUUAGAGGGUUUUGGUGAAAUCUUUGUAAGACUAUAGCUCAUCAUAGCAAAUAAAUUUUAUCUAUUUGAAGAUAUUUUACAUUUUAGUAUGGAUUUUUCUAGAUGACUUAUAGAGAAUGGCCUUUUAUAUAUUCAUUUAUCUAUAUGGCUAAACUAUUGUCAAUAUUCAUCUCCAUAUAAUUUUUUCUUGUUUUCUAAUUCUUUGCUCUCAUCUCCUUCUUUAGUCUUGGGGGAAAAAAAUGACCUAGAGCAUGUCAUUUAUUACUUAUUCUUAAAGACAACAUAGCCUUUUGACACUUCUAUUUUCUAGCGUGCCUUCCUGGAUUUUAUGGUUUGGAUUGUGCUCACAUCUGUGACUGCAAAAACGGAGCCAGUUGUGAUGCAGUGAAUGGACAGUGCAUUUGCCCAGCAGGUUUCCAUGGCAGCCAGUGUGAAAAAGGUGAAAAAUCAUCAGUGUUUUCACAGCUCCUGAUAUCAUUUGCCAGUCUCCUCUGAAAGUGUCCCAGAUUCACAGAGGAGGAUAAAUAUGAAGAAAGGGCAGUGUUGGAUCCUACACAAGGAUAUAAAACCCUCCAUGUGACAAUGAAAGGGGUUAAAUCAUCUUGUGAUCCAGUAAAAAAUUUCCUUCAUACUUGGGAAUCAAUUUUCAUGCUCUUGGCAAAAAUCAACUCAAAAUUGAUGACAGAUUUGAAUGUAAGACCUGAAACCAUAGAACUCCUAAAAGAAAACAUGAGGCGGCAUUAACUGUCUUUUAAAUCAAAAUGAAAUGUGUACUUGGCAACUUCUGACUCAAGCAUUUGGUUCCCCAUAAAUCCUGGAAAUGACAUAGUGUGCACUUCACCUCUGGCACACCUCUUCAAAAACCAGAGUUAUGCAAGGAGGAACACUUGAGAACCAGGGAGCCCUAGCCCUCAAAGCCUUCCCAAGUUCUGGGAAGCAGUGGCAUGUUGAAAAUGACAGAAACAAAUCUGCUUAAUCACCUGGUAUUGAGAGGGAGAGAGAGAAAAAGAAGAGAGAGAAAGGUCGUGUGUGUGUGUGUGUGUGUGUGUGUGUGUGUGUGUGUGUGUGUGUUUGAGUACGCCAAAAAAAGAACCAAGCUGAGUUUCACUUCCUAGCAGUCUUAAGCAAUAAUUUCCUGGAGUUCAAUGUUGUUUACACUUUUAAUGAUAAUCCAUGAUUUUCAAUUCUGAUUUUAUUAGAAUCCUGUUUCUCACCUUCUUUGUCCUAACCAACUUUUCCAUCCAGUUAUGCAAUUACAAAUUCUCUUCUCCAAACUGUUGUCUCAUCCAAUUAAAAAAAAAAAAAAAAAAAAAAAAGGAAAACGUUCACUUUUUCCUGACUCUCAAUCUUCUUCCUAACACAGACGCAAAAUAAUUGGGCACACUAUCUGUCACCCGUUGCAACAGUUAGAGUUCCAUUAUAUUUGAUACUUUCAAUGAUCCCAUCAGAUAAGAAAAGCAUUAUUCCCUGAUUUAGAGAGAAAACUUAGGCACAAAGGUUAAGAAUUUUCCAUUGCUGGAGUGACUAGGUGGCUCAGUUAGUUAAGGGUCUGACUUUGGCUUGGGUCAUGAUCUCCCAGUUCCUGAGUUCAAGGCUGUCAGCGCAGAGCCUGCGUGGGAUUCGCUCUCCCUCCCUCUCUUUCUCUGCCCCUCCCCCACUAAAUAAAUAGAUAAACUUAAAAAAUAAAGGUAUUGUCAUUGCUCUAGCUAUCCAUGUGCAUUAGAGGUCAGGAGUCCUCAUUCCUAAUAAGAUUGUAAUGAUAAUCAAAGCUGCUAUAAAUUAGCAGUGUACCGGGAACUACAGUCAGUGCUUUGCAUACUGUUUUUAUUUGAAUCCUCAGAAAAUACUAUAAGGUAGACACUAGAACUCUCACCAGAAAGAUAGCGCGACCUUCAAAAGAUCACACAGCUAGUAAGCUCAGAAGCCAGGAACAAACCUAAAUUCGCCUAAUUCACAAACCGCUAUGUAAUCUCUGUGCUCUUGAGUUGCCCCUCCCCCAUACUUCCGGCCCGCAGGCUAAUGCAAGGACUGUAGGAGUCAUCAGAAGUAGCAUUGCUGACCUUCUCUUGAUAAAUAUGUAUUUUUUAAAUUUCCCUGAAUUUUUAUAAUAUGACUGUGGGAGAAAUAAGAGCUGAUAGUGCACAUUGCUAACCAAAACAAGGGUCUGGUGACUUCACCCACAUCUGGAGAAGAGAAAAACAAGGCCACAAGAACCAGUUUGGAGAAUGAGAUCAAUGGGCAUAUGAUUCCUGGGUAAGUGGAGAUUUCUGCUCUGUAUUCUGUUCCCCACUGAAAAGAACCCAGUGCAAGUGCCUAUUACCAUCAUGUAAGGAUAGAAAACUGGUAUGUUCUCAACGCUACUUCUCAUGUUAAUGUCAUUUGCCAUCUUCCCCUCACAUGUCAAAAGACUUACAUGAAGCUUCCUUGGGUAGCUCAGUCAGUUAAGUGUCAGACUGGAUUUCAGGUCAGGUCUGAUCUCACAGCUUGUGAGUUCGAGCCCCACAUUGGGAUCCCUGUUUGAGAUUCUUUCUUUCCCUCUCUCUCUCUGCCCUUCCCCUGCUUGCACUCUCUCUCUCAAAAUAAAUAAAUAAAAACUUAAAAAAAAAAGAUUUAUGUGAGAGGAAGAGAGCUCCCAACCUGGCUAAAGAUUAGUAUUUUCUGUCAUCAUGAUCUUGUCAAAACAACUGUCUUGGAGUCGUAAUUUUUAAAAGCCAGCUUACUUGUAAUUUAAUCCUUUCAGAGGAGUCCUCUUUCCUUCCCAGCGUUGAUUCCAGACCACGGGCAGUUGUUCACAGGUUUCCUUCUUCAAACACAUCUCUUCCUGCAUUCAGGUGGAAGUAGAAUACCAUCUCAUCUCACAAACGAUGCCCAGAGCACAAUUUCCCAGAAGGCUGGGCAUCCUCCAUGAAGUGUUCUUGCCAUUCCCUUCAUAAUAUACAUAUAAAAUAUUUUAAAAUUUUGAUUAAUGCAGACGUGAAACCUUAGGUCAGACACCAAGGCACCUUUAGUCAGCAAAGAUGACUUUGUCGUCAUCAGGGUGACAGGUCUAAGAAAGUGGCAGCAAAAUGCUACAUUUUUUAAGUAAUGGGGUAUAGCUGACAUGUAAGAAAAAAGUUGGACACAUUUAAUGUAUACAACUCGAUAAGUUUAGGAAUGUAAACACAAACCAUCACCAAGGCCAUAGAUAGACAUGUCCAUCACUCCUGAAGCUUCCUCCAACCUCUGUAUAAUUAAUACCACUUAGUGCGGUAUGGAAAAAAAAAACAUUUAACAUAAGAUUUAUCUUCUUAGAAAAUUGUAAGUGUUGCUAUGAUCUGAAUAUUUCUGUCCCCUUCCUUAAAUCCAUAUGUUGAAAUCCUAAUGCCUAAUGUGAUGGUAUUAGGAGGUAGGCCUUGGGGACGGACCAGAUCAUGAGGGUGGAGCCAUAAUGAGUACGAUUACUGCUGUUAGGAAAGAGACCCUACAUUGCUCUCUAGCCCCUUCUAUAAUGUGAAGACAGGGCAUGAAGGCCCCAGUUGUAAAUCAAGAAGAGGGCCCUCGCCAGAAUGCAGCCAUGCUGACAACUCGAUCUUGAACUUCCCAGCCUCCAACUGAGAGAAAUAUAUUUCUAUUCUUAUAAAUUAGUCUGUGGCAUUUUGCUAUAGCAGCCCAAAUAGACUAAGACAAGUGUACAUACAGUAGCUGGAGGCACUGUGUUGUGUAAUAACCCUUCAGAAUUUGUCUUACAUAACUAAAACUCUGUACCCUUUGACCAUCCCCUCCUGUGUUCCCCCUCCUUCUAGUCCCUGGAAAUCACCAUAUGCCGUUUUCUUCUAUGAGUUUGGCUGUUUAAAAUUCUAUACCUGAAUGAUAUCAUUUAGUAGUUGUCUUUCUUUAUCUGGCUUAUUUCACUUAGCAGGUUCAUCCGUAUUGUCUCAAAGGGCAGGAUUUGCUUUCUUUUUCUUAAGGCCGAAUAAUAUUCCACUCUCUCUAUGUAUACUGCAUUUUUUUUAUUCAUUCAUCCAUCAAUUAAUAGACCCUUAGUUUGUUUCUGUAUCUUGACUGUUGUGAAUAAUGCUGCAAUGAACAUGGAGGUAUAGUUAUCUCUACAAGGUGAUGAUUUCAGUUCUUUUGGAAAAAUACCCAGAUGUGGGAUUGCCAGAUCAUAUGGUAGUUUUAUUUUUAAUUUCUUGAGGAACCUCAAUAUUAUUUUCCAUGAUGGCUGUACCCAUUUGCAUUCCCACCAGCUCUGCACCAGUGUCCUCUUUUCUCCACAUUUCUCCACAUUUCAUCAGCACUUGUUAUCUUUACCUUUGUGGGUUUUUUUGAAAUUUAUUUUUAUUUAUUUAUUUUUUAGUGUUUAUUUAUUUUUGAGAGAGAGACAGGGUGUGAGCAGGGGAGGGGCAGAGAGAGAGGGAGACACAGAAUCUGAAGGAGUCUCCAGGCUCUGAGCUGUCAGCAUGGAGCCCCACGUGGGGCUUGAACUCACGAACCAUGAGAUCAUGACCUGUUGUGAAGUCGGGUGCUUACCCAACUGAGCCACCCAGGUGCCCUGUUUUUUUUUUUGUUUUUUUUUUAAUAGCCAUUUUAACAGGUGAUAUGUUGUUGUGGUUUUGAUUUACAUUUGCCUGAUGAUUAGUGAUGUUGAGGACUUUUCAUGUACCUAUUUACCAUUUAUGUCUUCUUUAGAGAAAUGUUAAUUUGUUGACACAAAAUCAUAGGAUUGCCUUAUUCUCCUUUGUUUCUGUGGAAUCAGUUGAAUGUCUUCUGUUUCACUGAUCAUUUUAUUUAUAUAUGUCUUGUGUCUUUUUUUAUUUAGUUAGUUAAGAGUUUGCCAAAUUGUUUAUCUUAUUAACAGAGAAUUUCAAAUUCUCUGUCUUUGAGCACACUUAUUCUUUCUUCUUGACUGAGUCUUCUAUUGAACCCUCUACUGAAUUUUUCAUUGCAAUCAUUAUAUGCUUCAGCUCCAGAAUUUGUUUCAUUACUUUUAUGAUUUCUAUUUCCUUAUUGAACUUCACUUUUUUUUUUUUCAUGUAUAGUUUCCUGAUGUCAUUUAGUUGUCCAUCUGUGUUCUCUUGAGCUUCCUUAAGCCAAUUAUAUUGAAUUCUUUUUCAGGCAGGUCAUAGGUCCCCUUUUACUUAGAGUAAGUUAUUGUUUGGUUCCUUUGAUAGUGCUAUGUUUAUCUGAUUAUUUGUGAUUUUUGUUACCUUGCAUUGAUAUCUGUAUAUGUGAAGAAAUAGUCACCUUUUCUAGUUGCUAUAGAUUGGCUUCAGCAGGGAAAGGAAGGAAGGCCUGCUUCCAGAGCCCAUGAACAAGUAAGCCUGGUACGUGGGUCCAUGGGAUCUAGCUUCUCCCCAUGGGCCCAUGUACCAGGUCCUUGGGGACCCAGGUUUCAGGGCCAAACCUGACACUGGAAUGGGUCUGGAGCUUGUGUCCACAGAGACCAGACUGGAGCAGGGAUAAACCUGGAGCCUGGGUUUGUGGGUCCUGUACUUUUGUAAAUCUAAAUUUUGGAGAGAAUUUCAAAGAGAAUAAUUUAAAAAUUAGAUAAUCAAACGGCAUAGCUGCCGAAAUCUAUAAUGACUAUCCCCUCUAUCAUGUUAGGAGCAUGCUGUGAUAUAACAUCUGAGUAUUUAGUGUAUUAUUUAUGCAUAUAUCUUUCUUAUUAAAUGGAGAGCUAUUUCAAAGAUCAGCUUUUUUGAAGUAUCAUUUACGUGCAAUAAAAUACACCCACUUAAGGGUAUACCUGUGUAUGACUUUCCCUGAAAAUAUAUACAUCUGUGUAAUCACCUCUGCAAUGAAGAUUUGAAACAUUUCUAUUAUCCCAAAAAUAUUUUCUUGUACCUUCUCAGUGAAUCUUGAUAGUACUCCCAGACCUAGACAACCACUAACCCAGUUUCUAUAAUUAUGAAUUAAAACUUUAUAGGGGCGCCUGGGUGGCGCAGUCGGUUAAGCGUCCGACUUCAGCCAGGUCACGAUCUCGCGGUCCGUGAGUUCGAGCCCCGCGUCAGGCUCUGGGCUGAUGGCUCAGAGCCUGGAGCCUGUUUCCGAUUCUGUGUCUCCCUCUCUCUCUGCCCCUCCCCCGUUCAUGCUCUGUCUCUCUCUGUCCCAAAAGUAAAUAAAUGUUGAAAAAAAAAAA